RNAcentral lists this ribosomal RNA (253 nucleotides) under uncultured bacterium. RNAcentral's name for it is "partial 16S ribosomal RNA". It matches the Rfam family "Bacterial small subunit ribosomal RNA", at positions 524 to 776 of the family's 1533-position model. The record is from RNAcentral.
UACGUAGGGUGCGAGCGUUAAUCGGAAUUACUGGGCGUAAAGCGUGCGUAGGCGGUCCUCCAAGUCCGUUGUGAAAGCCCCGGGCUCAACCUGGGAAUGGCAGUGGAAACUAGGGGACUGGAAUCUGGCAGAGGGGGGUGGAAUGCCGCGUGUAGCAGUGAAAUGCGUAGAGAUGCGGCGGAACACCGAUGGCGAAGGCAGCCCCCUGGGCUGAGAUUGACGCUCAGGCACGAAAGCGUGGGGAGCAAACAGG